GAGGGCAUAGCUCAGUGGUAGAGUGCAUGCCUAGCAUGCACAAGGUCCUAGGUUCAAUCCCCAGUACUUCCA
This 72-nucleotide transfer RNA is filed under the name Camelus bactrianus (Bactrian camel). It matches the Rfam family "tRNA". Rfam says of the family: Transfer RNA (tRNA) molecules are approximately 80 nucleotides in length. Their secondary structure includes four short double-helical elements and three loops (D, anti-codon, and T loops). RNAcentral also lists the same sequence under 2 other names. Lineage: Eukaryota; Metazoa; Chordata; Mammalia; Artiodactyla; Camelidae. The record is from Rfam by way of RNAcentral.